AGCAGCCGCGGUAAUUCCAGCUCCAAUAGCGUAUAUUAAAGUUGUUGCAGUUAAAAAGCUCGUAGUUGAACUUCGGGGUUUACCCAUUGGUCAGGCUUAAUUGUCUGUACUGGUGAGAUAAAUCUCUACCUUCUGAGGAACUUUCAUGCCAUUUAUUUGGUGUGAUGGGAAAUCAGGACUGUUACUUUGAAAAAAUUAGAGUGUUUAAAGCAGGCUAACGUCUGAAUACAUUAGCAUGGAAUAAUGAAAUAGGACGGACUGAUUCUAUUUCGUUGGUUUCUAGGAUCACCGUAAUGAUUAAUAGGGAUAGUUGGGGGCAUUAGUAUUCAAUUGUCAGAGGUGAAAUUCUUGGAUUUAUUGAAGACUAACUACUGCGAAAGCAUUUGCCAAGGAUGUUUUCAUUAAUCAAGAACGAAAGUUAGGGGAUCGAAGACGAUCAGAUACCGUCGUAGUCU
Molecule: ribosomal RNA, 455 nt
Filed under: uncultured Diversispora
Lineage: Eukaryota; Fungi; Glomeromycota; Glomeromycetes; Diversisporales; Diversisporaceae
Description: SSU rRNA
Rfam family: Eukaryotic small subunit ribosomal RNA
Source: RNAcentral